RNAcentral lists this ribosomal RNA (452 nucleotides) under uncultured organism. RNAcentral's name for it is "partial 16S ribosomal RNA". It matches the Rfam family "Bacterial small subunit ribosomal RNA", at positions 332 to 800 of the family's 1533-position model. The record is from RNAcentral.
UACACUCCUGCGGGAGGCAGCAGUGGGGAAUAUUGGACAAUGGGCGCAAGCCUGAUCCAGCCAUGCCGCGUGAGUGAUGAAGGCCCUAGGGUUGUAAAGCUCUUUCACCGGUGAAGAUAAUGACGGUAACCGGAGAAGAAGCCCCGGCUAACUUCGUGCCAGCAGCCGCGGUCAUACGAAGGGGGCUAGCGUUGUUCGGAUUUACUGGGCGUAAAGCGCACGUAGGCGGACUAUUAAGUCAGGGGUGAAAUCCCGGGGCUCAACCCCGGAACUGCCUUUGAUACUGGUAGUCUUGAGGUCGAGAGAGGUGAGUGGAAUUCCGAGUGUAGAGGUGAAAUUCGUAGAUAUUCGGAGGAACACCAGUGGCGAAGGCGGCUCACUGGCUCGAUACUGACGCUGAGGUGCGAAAGCGUGGGGUGCAAACAGGAUUAGAAACCCCUGUAGUCCCAUGA